RNAcentral lists this ribosomal RNA (407 nucleotides) under uncultured bacterium. Its description in RNAcentral is "partial 16S ribosomal RNA". It matches the Rfam family "Bacterial small subunit ribosomal RNA", at positions 28 to 526 of the family's 1533-position model. The record is from RNAcentral.
GACGAACGCUGGCGGCGUGCCUAAUACAUGCAAGUAGAACGGAGUUUCGAACGGGUGAGUAUAGCGUAGGUGACUGCCUCAUAGCGGGGGGAUAAUAAUGGAAACGAUAGCUAAUACCGCAUACUGUGGGAUGGACCUGCGUUGUAUUGACUAGUUGGUGAGGUAAAGGCUCACCACGGAGAAGAUACAUAGCCGAGCUGGGAGGGAGAUCUGGCACACGGGGACUGAGGCACGGCCCAGGAUUCUACGGGAGGGAGCAAGAGGGAAUUUUCGGAAAUGGACGGAAGUCUGACCGCGGAACUCCGGGUGAGUGAAUAAGGGUUUCGGAGCGUAAAGCUAUGUUGUUAGAGAAGCGUUAACUAACCAGAAAGGGACGGCUAACUACGUGCCAGCAGCCGCGGUAAUAC